GACGAACGCUGGCGGCGUGCUUAACACAUGCAAGUCGAACGAGUGGCGAACGGGUGAGUAAUACGUGGGUAACCUGCCCUCUUUUUGGGAUAAGCCUUUGAAACCGGGUCUAAUACCCAAUAAAGGGGGAUGGGCUCUGGGCCUAUCAGCUUGUUGGUGGGGUGAUGGCCUACGAAGGCGGUGACGGGUAGCCGGCCUGAGAGGGUGACAGGAAAAAGUGGGAGGUAGAGACGGCGAAGAGACCGACGGGAGGGAGCAGUGGGGGAUAUGGCACAAUGGGGGAAAGCCUGAGGCAGGGACGCGGAGUGGGGGAUGAAGGCUUGCGGGUGGUAAACCUAUGUGGAUAGCGAAAGGGUAGGUGGAGAAGAAGCGCCGGCUAACUACGUGCCAGCAGCCGCGGUAAUUC
RNAcentral lists this ribosomal RNA (406 nucleotides) under uncultured bacterium. RNAcentral describes it as "partial 16S ribosomal RNA". It matches the Rfam family "Bacterial small subunit ribosomal RNA", at positions 28 to 526 of the family's 1533-position model. The record is from RNAcentral.